UGUAGUAGUGUUAACAUGUUAUAACUGGUAUAUGAAGACAGUGUAGUAGUGUUAACAUGUUAUAACUGGUAUAUGAAGACAGUAUAGUAGUGUUAUAACUGGUAUAUGAAGACAGUGUAGUAGUGUUAACAUGUUAUAACUGGUAUAUGAAGACAGUGUAGUAGUGUUAACAUGUUAUAACUGGUAUAUGAAGACAGUGUAGUAGUGUUAACAUGUUAUAACUGGUAUAUGAAGACAGUGUAGUAGUGUUAACAUGUUAUAACUGGUAUAUGAAGACAGUGUAGUAGUGUUAACAUGUUAUAACUGGUAUAUGAAGACAGUGUAGUAGUAUUAACAUGUUAUAACUGGUAUAUGAAGACGGUGUAGUAGUAUUAACAUGUUAUAACUGGUAUAUGAAGACAGUGUAGUAGUGUUAACAUGUUAUAACUGGUAUAUGAAGACAGUGUAGUGGUAUUAACAUGUUAUAACUGGUAUAUGAAGACAGUGUAGUAGUGUUAACAUGUUAUAACUGGUAUAUGAAGACAGUGUUAUAACUGGUAUAUGAAGACAGUGUAGUAGUGUUAUAACUGGUAUAUGAAGACAGUGUAGUAGUGUUAACAUGUUAUAACAGGUAUAUGAAGACAGUGUAGUAGUGUUAACAUGUUAUAACAGGUAUAUGAAGACAGUGUAGUAGUGUUAACAUGUUAUAACUGGUAUAUGAAGACAGUGUAGUAGUGUUAACAUGUUAUAACUGGUGUAUAUUUGUAUAUAAUCGAACACCUUUGGGAUGAAUUGGAAAGCCUACUGCAGGGCCUAAUCGCCCCCAACAUCAGUACCCGUUUGGAAUGAGAUGUUGGAUGAGCAGUUGUCCACGUACCUUUUGGUUAUGUAGUGUGUCUAUAACAUGUAGAUAUGUCAAGGUAGCCUGGGUGCCAGUCAGUUUGUGCUCUCUUGCCAACUCCUUAUGGAUUUUUGAUGGCAUGACACUGAGUGUGAAGUGUUAACGAUUAUUACUGUGUAAUACCAGGUAUAUGAAGUGUUAUAACUAUUACUGUGUAAUACCAGGUAUAUGAAGUGUUAUAACUAUUACUGUGUAAUACCAGGUAUAUGAAGUGUUAUAACUAUUACUGUGUAAUACCGGGUAUAUGAAGUGUUAUAACUAUUACUGUGUAAUACCAGGUAUAUGAAGUGUUAUAACUAUUACUGUGUAAUACCAGGUAUAUGAAGUGUUAUAACUAUUACUGUGUAAUACCAGGUAUAUGAAGCGUUAUAACUAUUACUGUGUAAUACCAGGUAUAUGAAGUGUUAUAACUAUUACUGUGUAAUACCAGGUAUAUGAAGCGUUAUAACUAUUACUGUGUAAUACCAGGUAUAUGAAGUGUUAUAACUAUUACUGUGUAAUACCGGGUAUAUGAAGUGUUAUAACUAUUACUGUGUAAUACCAGGUAUAUGAAGUGUUAUAACUAAUGUGUAAUACCAGGUAUAUGAAGUGUUAUAACUAUUACUGUGUAAUACCAGGUAUAUGAAGUGUUAUAACUAUUACUGUGUAAUACCAGGUAUAUGAAGUGUUAUAACUAUUACUGUGUAAUACCAGGUAUAUGAAGUGUUAUAACUAUUACUGUGUAAUACCAGGUAUAUGAAGUGUUAUAACUAUUACUGUGUAAUACCAGGUAUAUGAAGUGUUAUAACUAUUACUGUGUAAUACCAGGUAUAUGAAGUGUUAUAACUAAUGUGUAAUACCAGGUAUAUGAAGUGUUAUAACUAAUGUGUAAUACCAGGUAUAUGAAGUGUUAUAACUAUUACUGUGUAAUACCAGGUAUAUGAAGUGUUAUAACUAUUACUGUGUAAUACCAGGUAUAUGAAGUGUUAUAACUAUUACUGUGUAAUACCAGGUAUAUGAAGUGUUAUAACUAUUACUGUGUAAUACCAGGUAUAUGAAGUGUUAUAACUAUUACUGUGUAAUACCAGGUAUAUGAAGUGUUAUAACUAAUGUGUAAUACCAGGUAUAUGAAGUGUUAUAACUAUUACUGUGUAAUACCAGGUAUAUGAAGUGUUAUAACUAUUACUGUGUAAUACCAGGUAUAUGAAGUGUUAUAACUAUUACUGUGUAAUACCAGGUAUAUGAAGCGUUAUAACUAUUACUGUGUAAUACCAGGUAUAUGAAGCGUUAUAACUAUUACUGUGUAAUACCAGGUAUAUGAAGUGUUAUAACUAUUACUGUGUAAUACCAGGUAUAUGAAGUGUUAUAACUAUUACUGUGUAAUACCAGGUAUAUGAAGUGUUAUAACUAUUACUGUGUAAUACCAGGUAUAUGAAGCGUUAUAACUAUUACUGUGUAAUACC
Molecule: long non-coding RNA, 2322 nt
Organism: Oncorhynchus keta (chum salmon)
Lineage: Eukaryota; Metazoa; Chordata; Actinopteri; Salmoniformes; Salmonidae
Exons: 7
Source: RefSeq, a predicted model, not a curated record